Molecule: transfer RNA, 72 nt
Filed under: Camelus bactrianus (Bactrian camel)
Lineage: Eukaryota; Metazoa; Chordata; Mammalia; Artiodactyla; Camelidae
Also listed under: 2 other names
Rfam family: tRNA
About the family: Transfer RNA (tRNA) molecules are approximately 80 nucleotides in length. Their secondary structure includes four short double-helical elements and three loops (D, anti-codon, and T loops).
Source: Rfam by way of RNAcentral
GAGGGUAUAGUUCAGGGUUAGAGCAGGUGCUUUGCGUGCACGAGGUCCUGGGUUCAAUCCCCAGUACCUCCA